AAAGGAAGGAAAAGAAAGUCAGGGGAGGGGAGGGGAGGAGGGGAGGGAAAGCCUCUUUUCUCCGGCUGCCAAAGGCGCCAACUGCCCUCUUCCAAGCAACUUCUCUCUCACCGUCCAGAGUCCGCUUUCCCCAGCCACGCAACAGCACCCGCAGCAGCAGCAGCAACUCCCUUCGCCGAACAGGAAACCUUCCUUCUCCCGCGCCGAGCGGUUCUGAGCUGAGCUUCGUGGGCAAACAGGAAGCCUCGUCGGAUGAUGCUCUUGAGAGUUUAUGUGUGGAAGGAAGGAAGGAAGGAAAGAAGGAAGGAAGGAAGGAAAGGAGGAAGACUGUAUUUUAAAAUAUCAAACACACAGCCUUCAUGUUGUGAUCAUGGAUAUUGUCAUUUUCAAGAUAAAAAUGCUCAAAGUAAGAAUAUUUCUACUACAUUGAUCUCUUAAGAAUCAGCAUUGUUCUUCCCAACACAAGAAGUCCUCCUUCCUGGGACCUGGAUUUUACUGCUUCCGUCUCUGUCUUCAUAUCACUUCUACAACACAGUGCCAAAAACUCCCUUGUACUGUUUCAGCUCUGAAUAUUAAAUGGUAUUUUUGAGUAUUUGAUCCAUUGAAAAGCUUUUCCUGUGAGGUAUCUGAUACUGUACUGUUUUUUCCUUAAGAAGAUUCAAAUUCCUAUGAAAAACCAAGAGAUGCUCCUUAUUGGCGUUUGAAGAGAUGACACAACUUCCUCCUUUGUCUAAGAUCCUUUUGCCCACCCUUUAUUUAGUACGAAAAAGGGAAAUGACAGUAUUUUUGUUGUCAAACCGACCACAAAGGCUUUUUAAAUAACAGGAUCAGCAAGUAUUGAAUGUGUCACAACUAUGAACAGUUUUCCUCAUACA
This 875-nucleotide long non-coding RNA is filed under the name Naja naja (Indian cobra). RNAcentral describes it as "lncRNA (ENSNNAG00000012613.1)". The record is from RNAcentral. Lineage: Eukaryota; Metazoa; Chordata; Lepidosauria; Squamata; Elapidae.